ACCUCAAAACUUUCGUAAAAAUGUAACUCUGUCCAUAGAUAAACCAUUUGUAUGUAAACAAAAACUGUCAGUCGACAACAUGGCGGAUAACGCAGUGCGCCUGUGCAAAAUACGUGAUAAAAAGUGUUUGUGUCGUUGCAAAAAAAGAAGAAAAGCCAGGAAAAAACAAGGAGAGGAGAAUGCCUGCUGCAGCAUCCAAACUGCUGUCGAGAUUGUACUACUGUAGUAACUGAAGAUCCAUGUAAUUUGCCAGCUGAAGAUGGGUGCAAACCCGAAAUGCAUAUUGGCGUAAAUAAAAAACGCAUUAAAAAGUG
Molecule: long non-coding RNA, 314 nt
Organism: Schistocerca gregaria
Lineage: Eukaryota; Metazoa; Arthropoda; Insecta; Orthoptera; Acrididae
Exons: 2
Source: RefSeq, a predicted model, not a curated record